GGGGGUGUUUUGGUUUCGACUGGCUUUGCUAUGCCAUAGAUUGCGAACCAAGAGCUGACUUGUAAAACCGGCAAAACAAAUUAAAUGCAAAGAAAGAAGACGACGAGUUCGUAUCUGACGAAGCAUACGCUCUUGCUGCGUAAGCAGUGAUAGCUGGAUAGAGAUGCAUUAAGUUCCUGGUGCGCUUUAUCCUCACCUUAGGGGACUUGCUUUAAAUAGAUGUGCUGAUAUUUAGAGGACUUUAAGCAUUGCUAUAUAGUUACGCUAGUCUCAUUGCUGCGCUAUAUCUAAGAUUAGAAUUGAGACUAUGUUCGUAGACGUUUAUGGGUGGAUUGUUAGGACGAGGGUUCGAAUCCCUCCACCUCCA
This 367-nucleotide transfer-messenger RNA is filed under the name human gut metagenome. It matches the Rfam family "transfer-messenger RNA". From Rfam's summary of the family: Bacterial tmRNA, also known as 10Sa RNA or SsrA, is named for its dual tRNA and mRNA-like properties. Its role is to liberate the mRNA from a stalled ribosome. The record is from RNAcentral.